This is a long non-coding RNA of Helianthus annuus (common sunflower), 1932 nucleotides long. RefSeq lists it as uncharacterized. The transcript has 8 exons. Lineage: Eukaryota; Viridiplantae; Streptophyta; Magnoliopsida; Asterales; Asteraceae. The record is from RefSeq and is a predicted model, not a curated record.
UACGAGAAUUCCUCCUAGAGAAUCCCAACUGUCGGCUUAUGACGGGGAGCAGAACUGAUCGGCCGUGAAUGAAUGUUUUAAAAGAGAGAGAGAGUGUGUUUAUGGCAGAGCGUUAGAGAGAGAGAGGGAGAAUGCAGGAGAAAAGGCCGACCCGGUCAAUCAACUGCGGUCUCCCACGCUUCACUUCACUUGGUCGGAGAACGAACACGCCUACACCCCGCUCCGCCAAUCAUCCCCCUUCUGAUCUUCUCUUUUCUCGUGAUAUUAUUGUUUCUAUAUACUUUCAGAUUCAUAAUUAGGGUUUUUUUUUACUUUUGUAAACUAUAGGAAUUCAUGAUGGCUUCGAAACGGAUCUUGAAAGAACUCAAGGAUCUCCGGAAGGAUCCUCCUACCUCUUGCAGUGCAGGUUUCUUUCUAUCGGGCUGAAGGCCUGCUUGGUUCAUAAAGUUCAGAGAAUGUAUUCGAAUUCAUCCACAGAGCUUUGUGAUGGACCAAUUAACGCCUUUACAGUAACGUGUACUGUAACCAUGGGUUCAUUUAUGUAACCUCACAGGGUACGUUGGAGAUCUGUCUACUUCUAUCUUUUUUAGCAUAUGACAAUUAUUGGCCAGUACAAAAGAUCCCCUUGAAGGCCACUCGGCAUCAAGUAACAUACUUUGCUGAGAAGAACCUAUACCCACUUAUAGUUUCUGUUCCUGCGAGUAGAUUCUUUGGUUGACCAUUAAUAUAAUGUGUUCUAUUUCAAACAUUCAUAAUUACAUUAUGACAAAUAUUAAUAGUAUAAAAGAUGAACCAGUUUUCAUAUUGGCUCUUUGCAGGUCUCAAAGCCUAUAAAUCAAGUGCUAUCAACUCUGGUUGAUCAAGAAUCUGGCCACCAAAUUGAGCAUGAUAAUUUAAAUCUUGAUGGUACUUAAUACUGUUGAAGAAUUCGAGGUUAGAAUUUUGGAACCAGAGAGUUCUGGUGGGCCAUGGCAAAUAAAAGGAACUAUUCACAUACAAACUUCUGAGCCUGCGUUAACUGUCAGUGGUUACAUUAUCUAAUACAACAACAAGAGAGAAUGAAACUCUGUUGGCAAUUGGGACUGCCUAUGUGCAAGGGGAAGAUGUAGCUGCAAGAGGACGUGUUCUUUUGUUCUCAGUUGAAAAUAGCACUGAGAAUUCACCGGCAAAGGCAAAGUGCUCAUUGUGGUGGCUCAAUGGUGAUUCCAACAAGGCCGUGGGCGGCUGGAGCUUUUUGUUGCUGUUGUUGAAGCCUCCUUUAGUUCCUGGAUUAGGGGGGAAAAGUAAGGAGCUAGGAUAAUGAUGUAAACUGUACUGUAUAUGGUGAUAAUUUGGUCAACUUUGUUUUCAUAUUUUGCACCUACACAUAUUUUUCUCAUUGAUGUUCUCAUGUUUCCUAGGCUUACUUUCUUACGUCUGUGCAGUGCCCCGAUUUGAGAGGAGAUCGGGUUUCUACUCCCUUAACUGACCAGGUACAUGCGUUUAUAGUGCUCAGUAUUGGUGAGUUCUUUAACUUUUGCAUUGGCUCAUUUCAAUAUGCAGAGAAUGUUACGACUUGUGUUUCUUGGGAUGGUAAUGGGCACGGUUUAUGCGUAGUCAAGAAACUUACCGUAUUGAUACGUAGUUCUUUAACUUUUACACAGCCUUUGGAAUGCCUUUGUGAUCAUAGAUCUUAUGACGUAGUUUUUUCCUUACGUCUCAUUUUGCCAAUUUAUUUUUCUACUUUUGUACAAAAAUAAUGUUUGGGAUUAAUAAUUGAUACGUUUUUUUUUUAUUUCAGUACAGAGGAUAAGAUCAUCGUCUUGUAGCAUUAGAACUAAACCAGAUUGUCUCUAGGUUAGUUUGAUAUAAAAAUAUUGUCAUUUGUUUAUGGAUCACAAUGUAAAUUUCCUGCACUAUUUCUCAGCUUAAUAGUAAAACUAUUUAUUAAUA